CAAGAGCAAAACUCCAUCUCAAAAACAAAACAAAACAAAACAAAUCUUGUACCGUGUCCGCAUCCACAUGUUUUAGGGGAGGAAACCAGAGCUACAAGGCAAUUUAUUUCAACAGAGAAAUUCCCCCCUCUUCUUUGCUAAUGGCUACAGAUAAAGCUACAGACCCAGCGUCAUCAACAAAAGUAGCAAUUGACAUUUGUUGAGCACAGAGAAUGCAGCAGGGCUGAGCUGCAAGCUUUUAUCUGCAUCACCUCACUGCGUCCUCAAUGCCACCAUCUAAGGAAGAUGCAGGUAUUGUUGCAGUGUUCCUGUUACAGAGAGCCACGGAGGUCAGGCCAGUAGCUGCCUGAUGUCACAGAGCAAGCUGGAGGCAGGAUGGCAUCAGCAUUCCAAUCUGCCCUUUCCAGAGCCCUAGAGAGCAGGGUGCUCCUUCAGACCCCAGGCCUUGUCUCUAGCCCUUCCUAAGUCAUCUCACUUCUCCCUACUUCUCACCUUCUGCCUUGGGUCCAACCUACUCCUAGGCUAUGAAGCCAUCCACCAGCCUUACCUAGGCACAGGCCAAUGCACUGCUGCCUGGGACAACAGAACUGGCAUCACCCAAGAAUCCGAAGGACUCGGCUGAAUAAAGACCAUGAUCCGAAGUUAAAAGGAGUUUCAGUAGUCCCUCAAUGACCAACAGCCGACCUUAAGUUCACCACCAGAUGCUUCAUGACAAACUCACAAAGGCAAUAGCCACAAAGGGCCAACAACUUUCCCUGGGCAUCUAUCCAAGCCUGUCUUCAUGGUCCCUUCCAACAGCUGGACGUAUUGGCUGCCAGAUGUCCCUGAAACCGCAGGCUGCCUUACCUAUGUCAGGUAAUUUGGCUUCCCUGAUUGACCCAUCACUGAGAUCAUCACUAGCAGAAGGGAUACUGUUCCAGAACUAGCAGCCUCCAUUUCCUCCUCCUUGGGAUGUGUGUUGUGAGAAGCUCAUGUCACAUAAAAGGCAACAUGUGGGCACCUAAGCAGAUAAUCCCCAACUGAACACCCACUCAACAACUAGUGCCAACUGCCAUCCAUGAGCAUGCACCAUCUUGGAUGUUCCAGCCCAGUCAAGCCCCAGAUGACUGCAGCUCCAGCCAACAACACACGGAACAGAAGAACCACCCAGCUGAGCCCAGCCAAUCCCUGAGCCCAGGGAAUUAUGAUGAUGAAACUAUACCCUAAAGAGUUAAUGAAACCAAUGACAGAAAUUACUGAGUUUGCAGGAUAACAGAUAAGAAAAAAAAACAACUUGCUGAGAUGCUGAAAUUCCCUCCUCUUCUGAGUAUUUUUUUUUUUUUAACUCACAAGUUUUUUAAAAAGUUGGCAGUGGGCUAAAAUUAAUUGGAACCAGGAUGACCAACUGGAGAUUGUGCACAAGUUUGCUGACAUCACAGCCCAAAUUUCCACCACAUAUUUCAUACUAACUUCUCCCAAAUUUGCAUAUGCAACCUAUGAAGUAACAUAAAGAAAUAAGUACACACACCCAAGGACUUUCCAGACUUCCCCUUUCCCUCCACCAACCACCUGCUAAUCCCAGUAUCUACCCCCUAAGCCUUUCCUAAUAAAAAUACUGCCUUGAAGCCAGCCCAGAGUGGCAGAUUUGAGCUUGACUCCUGUGUCCUUGGGAGUCAACUUUCAAUAAGAAGCUUUUCUUUUCUCAAAAACCUGGCCAGGCACAGUGGCUCAUGCCUGUAAUCC
This 1722-nucleotide long non-coding RNA is filed under the name Homo sapiens (human). RNAcentral's name for it is "HSALNT0370790". Lineage: Eukaryota; Metazoa; Chordata; Mammalia; Primates; Hominidae. The record is from RNAcentral.